AAACGUUUUCUCUCAAACGUUCUCAGCCUUCUUUAGCUUUUUGGGACGGUCUGGCCAUCCGGCCGUCGACCUUCCCCUCUCUUCUUUCUCUUUAGUUUUGUUUUAUCUUAUUUGUCGGUGGUUUUCUGUUAGUUUUCUUGCUUUUGGUUACGUCUCCCUCUGUUAAAGUGUAGUACCCCUCUUUAGAUUGAGGUUUUUGUUGCUUGCUUCGGAGAUCGUUCAGCAUAUUGGUCCUUUUGUUCAGAUCAAAUGUCAUUAACCUAAUUUGUCUUCCUUGCUUCUGGUGGUGCUAUGUUACUGGAUGGGUUCCAGAAUACUCCCUAAUCGGCUAGCAUCUCAAAGGUAGAUCUGGUGCCUUCUCACGUGAUGCUGGCGGAUGAUCUUGUAGGCUAUAUGAGAUUGAUAAGUCGGAGCUCUGCCGCCUUGGAUUUACCGAAGGUUUCAUGAUCGUUGUCCUUUAAUUUCACUGAACAAGAUAGAACCGCUGGAGUCACCAGCAAACCACUAUACUCAAGGGCCAAUCCUGAUUUAGUAAUUGUACCCAACAUAGCACAUCAAUAUUAAUAGUAAUUUGCCAGCCAAGAAGAUUGGAUAAGAAGGAACUCAGUAAAACAAUUCAGUAAUAUUGUUAAAGGAAUUGCCUUUGAAUAUGUAUGAAUCUGUCUCCUGAUCAAUACAGUUAAAUGGAGGGAAAAAAAUAGAAAAAAUUUGUCAUGGGGGAAAUUUUCACCGCCAAUUUUAAUUAAUAAUUUCAUUCAACUUAGUAAUUACUAUACCAAACUAUGUUCUAUCUACUUAUGUACAACAUUGCAGAAACUCGCAUAGCCUCGAGCAAAGGAAACAUCAAACAUGUAUGGACAGACAGCAGGGUAGAGUCCAAGACCCCUUAGACUAGCCUGGAAUUGAAACCCCUCCCUAAUGAUCCUCUUUGCUCCACCUGCCUGCAAAAUGUCGUAGAGAACAAUCAAUAGAAUCACAAAUUGUUAGAACCAAUUAAACAAAUUUUCGUAGAAAAUGUUGAAAAAACUAGACAAUCAU
Long non-coding RNA from Hevea brasiliensis (rubber tree), 1038 nucleotides. RefSeq lists it as uncharacterized. The record is from RefSeq and is a predicted model, not a curated record. The transcript is spliced from 2 exons. NCBI's taxonomy places the organism in Eukaryota, Viridiplantae, Streptophyta, Magnoliopsida, Malpighiales, Euphorbiaceae.